RNAcentral lists this long non-coding RNA (539 nucleotides) under Olea europaea subsp. europaea. The record is from RNAcentral. Lineage: Eukaryota; Viridiplantae; Streptophyta; Magnoliopsida; Lamiales; Oleaceae.
CCUAGACUAUGAUGUUAGCAUGGUUUAAUUUUUAGUCGGCGUUGACCUAAUGAUUGAAUGGUAUAUCAACGUGCCAAUUGAAACGACCCGACCUAAAAUGUGAAUUGGGCCAUUUGAAGUAGCCAAAUUAACUCGCGCUGCUCAAGACCCGAUUCUUCACUUGGAUGGCUAAGAUUUUGGGGAUCCACUUUAUAACCCAUUUACUAUCAGAUGGGGCCCAUGACCCGUUACUGUGACCUAAUGGACGUACCUUAUUUUACCUAAUUGAUUGGCUUAUAUUCUUGUGUUCUUUUCACCUCCUUGGCCAUGUGUAUGUGGGUGAUUUCUUGAAUCUUUCUUUGCCAUCUUUGAUUCUACCAUUCCCACAACCUUCGUGGUCGUCUUCUUUGUGAUUCAACCCUCUUUAGUGGUGGUUCUCUAAGUGUGUAAACCUUUAGCAAUUGUAAGUGAGUUUUGAGGUGUUUUGGGUUGUUUGGUUUGAGGUGUUGAUUUGGAUUGUGAAAGUGAGCCUGUAAAGCCUUGGUAGUCAUCAUAUUGUU